GGAGCAUUCUGGAGUAAAGGAAACAUUUGAGUAAAGGCACUGAAGAGAAAAAAACCCAUGGAGAGUUUUUGAAAAUAGGGAGAAAGAAGUCAGGGCUUAUGGAAGGACAUAGAGGAGAUGAGGAUGGACAAACAAGAGGGUCAUAUUGCAGUUCUGGUGACAGUGUGAAAUAUAUACUGGAGAAGCAAAAGAUGGGACACACAGAGGCCAAUCCAGAGACUGUCAUUCAAUCGGUCCAUAUUUUUGGAGUACCAACUAUAUACAUGGCAAAUAGUGCAGGAAGGAGCUAAAGAAGGCUGGGCUCAGGAGAGGCUUUUCAGCCACAGCCCCUGUAAUCCACAUCUGGACAAAGAUUCCCACUGCAACCUGAGUUGUUUAUCCUUCUGCAAGGAACACAUCUGG
Eubalaena glacialis (North Atlantic right whale) is the source of this 402-nucleotide long non-coding RNA. RefSeq lists it as uncharacterized. NCBI's taxonomy places the organism in Eukaryota, Metazoa, Chordata, Mammalia, Artiodactyla, Balaenidae. The transcript has 3 exons. The record is from RefSeq and is a predicted model, not a curated record.